This 484-nucleotide ribosomal RNA is filed under the name uncultured bacterium. RNAcentral's name for it is "partial 16S ribosomal RNA". It matches the Rfam family "Bacterial small subunit ribosomal RNA", at positions 28 to 507 of the family's 1533-position model. The record is from RNAcentral.
AUUGAACGCUGGCGGCAUGCUUUACACAUGCAAGUCGAACGGCAGCGCGGGCUUCGGCCUGGCGGCGAGUGGCGAACGGGUGAGUAAUGCAUCGGAACGUGCCCAGUAGUGGGGGAUAGCCCGGCGAAAGCCGGAUUAAUACCGCAUACGACCUGAGGGUGAAAGCGGGGGACCGAAAGGCCUCGCGCUAUUGGAGCGGCCGAUGUCGGAUUAGCUAGUUGGUGGGGUAAAGGCUUACCAAGGCGACGUUCCGUAGCUGGUCUGAGAGGACGACCAGCCACACUGGGACUGAGACACGGCCCAGACUCCUACGGGAGGCAGCAGUGGGGAAUUUUGGACAAUGGGGGCAACCCUGAUCCAGCCAUGCCGCGUGCGGGAAGAAGGCCUUCGGGUUGUAAACCGCUUUUGUUCGGGAAGAAAUCCUCUGGGCUAAUACCCCGGGGGGAUGACGGUACCGGAAGAAUAAGCACCGGCUAACUACGUG